Molecule: ribosomal RNA, 399 nt
Filed under: uncultured bacterium
Lineage: Bacteria
Description: bacterial SSU rRNA
Rfam family: Bacterial small subunit ribosomal RNA
Source: RNAcentral
GACGAACGCUGGCGGCGUGCUUAACACAUGCAAGUCGAGCGGUAAGGCCCUUUCGGGGGUACACGAGCGGCGAACGGGUGAGUAACACGUGGGUGACCUGCCCUCAGCUCUGGGAUAAGCCUGGGAAACCGGGUCUAAUACUGGAUAUGACUCCAUGACGCAUGUUGUGGGGUGGAAAGCCUUGUGCGGCUGAGGAUGGGCCCGCGGCCUAUCAGCUUGUUGGUGGGGUGANGGCCUACCAAGGCGACGACGGGUAGCCGGCCUGAGAGGGCGACCGGCCACACUGGGACUGAGACACGGCCCAGACUCCUACGGGAGGCAGCAGUGGGGAAUCUUGCGCAAUGGGGGAAACCCUGACGAAGCAACGCCGCGUGGAGGAUGAAGGCCUUCGGUCGUAAC